CGCCCAGCAAUUCCUAUCCCUACCUCCUCGUGGUACCGGUCGGAAACUACGAGCAACCUUAGGGAAGAUCGGGUAACCAACCCCGGUGGGAACUUUGGUCGUAGGCUGACAGGGAAGG
Molecule: non-coding RNA, 118 nt
Organism: Aedes albopictus (Asian tiger mosquito)
Lineage: Eukaryota; Metazoa; Arthropoda; Insecta; Diptera; Culicidae
Source: Rfam